GACGAACGCUGGCGGCGUGCUUAACACAUGCAAGUCGAACGGAAAGGCCCUGUUUUUGUGCGGUCUUCGUGUGGCGAACAGGUGAGUAUCACGUGUGUAACCUGUCCCUGUCAUCGGGAUAACAUCUGGGAACUGGGGUUAUUACCGGACAUGAGAUCCUGCUGCAUGGUGGGGGUUGGUAAGUUUCGCCGGUUGGGGAUGGACACGCGGUCCAGCAGCGUGUUGGUUGGGUAGUGGCUUACCAAGGCUCUGACGGGUAGCCGGACUGGGAGGGUGACCGGCCACAUUGGGACUGAGAUACGACCCGGACUCCUACGGGAGGCAGGGGUGGAGAAUAUACCACGAUGGGCGGAGGCCUGGUACAACAACGCCGCGUGGGGGAAGACGGCCUUCGGGUUGUAAACCGCUUUCGCCUGUAACGAAGCGUGAGUGACGGUAAUGGGUAAAGAAGCACCGGCUAACUACGUG
RNAcentral lists this ribosomal RNA (468 nucleotides) under uncultured bacterium. Its description in RNAcentral is "partial 16S ribosomal RNA". It matches the Rfam family "Bacterial small subunit ribosomal RNA", at positions 28 to 507 of the family's 1533-position model. The record is from RNAcentral.